Molecule: long non-coding RNA, 1329 nt
Organism: Tympanuchus pallidicinctus (lesser prairie-chicken)
Lineage: Eukaryota; Metazoa; Chordata; Aves; Galliformes; Phasianidae
Exons: 2
Source: RefSeq, a predicted model, not a curated record
CCGCGGCUCCCGCCCUUCUGGGCAUGUGCGGCGGGGGAAGGGCCACGCGCGGCCGGCGCGGGCGGCUCUGCGACGGGGCCGAGUGCAGGGCUGCGGGCGGGAGGUCCGGCGGAAGGUGGGUGUUGGGGGCGCGCCGCAGCCUUAAGGCUGGCGGGAGGGUCUGAGCGCGGCGUUAGCCGUCGGCCCUCGCCGGACGACUGUCGGUGCGGUGUCCCGUAACGGGGCUGGGCCACAGCCGGGGCUGUGAUCGGCAAAGCUUCUGUCGGAACGGCCGGAGGACGGAACCCGUUCGGGCGGCCGGAGGCAGCCCCGCGGAGUGCAGCUGCGUUGACAGAGCCUGAACUUCACACGGACGCUUUUACAGCCGCUGCAAGUCAUGCCUUUCAUCUCACAAGUUUUGUCGGUUUAAAAUACUUAUUUUUAAGAUGACGAGUACUUGAGACAGAACAGUAAGUCCUAGCCAUCGGUUCUGGUAAGUUCUUGGUUCAGGCUAUGGGAAGUAUCUUGCCUUGUGCUUACACUGAGUUUCUCAUUCACAAAAACAGUUUUGCAAAUACAGAUGGGCUUGAGCAUUGAUAUACAGCAAAAGGGACCCCAAAGUCUCCGCAGGGAAGGAGUUCUCCCAGUCUGUACAUAUUUCUGGGAUUUUCCUACCCCACGUACAACACCUGCAUUUGGCUUCAUUGAAUCUGCACGUGUGCCCACCUUUCAAGUUUACCAAGGUCCCUUUGGAUGGUAUCCUUUUCUUCUGCUGUAUCAACUGCAUCACUCAGCUUGGUGUCAUCAGAAAACUUGCUGAAGGCGCACUGUGGUCAUCUAUGUCAUUGAUAAAGAGCACUGGUCCUAAGAUAGACCCCUGGAUGACACCACUCAUCACUGGCCUUCAUCUGGACAGAGAUGUGUUGACAACCACCCUUUGGCUGCAAUUAUCCAAACAAUUCAUUAUCCACCGAAUAGUCCAGCCUUUUUAAGCUGUCUCUCUCCAAUUCAGAGAUAAGGAUAUGGUGUGGGACCAAAUCAAAGGCCUUGCACAAGUCCGGUAGAUGACACCAGCUGUCCUUAAAUUAGGUAGACAAAAUCAGUUGAAACUGAUGUUCAGUUUCACAAAAAAAGCAGCUACCAAUCUAACUUCUAUUGGAAAGCUCACCAGAACCAACUUUGUCUGCUCUCAGGAAUAUGCAUCAAGUCAAAGCAGGCCGCAUAGUUGCUCCGGGACAAAAACAAUCAUUUUAUGUUAUGUAUCUUUGAAUUUCUUCUCUUUUUAUUAAUGCAUGGAAUUAUGCAAACAUAAAUAAUAAACAGAAAAUCAUGCAGUCACGUCAAUGAAAA